Molecule: non-coding RNA, 4410 nt
Organism: Meleagris gallopavo (turkey)
Lineage: Eukaryota; Metazoa; Chordata; Aves; Galliformes; Phasianidae
Source: RefSeq, a predicted model, not a curated record
AGGAGAGGAAAGCAGUAAAUUUUCCUGUAACUGGGGGAUUCCAAAGAGCUCAAUCUCUUUGCUGCUUAGAUGUUCAAAUGACAGCUGGCCCCCUGCCAGUUCCAGUUUUAGGGACUCAGACAGGAGUUCCUCUCCUCCACUUGGUUGUAUACUCCCAUUUUUCUUGGAGAGACUCAGUAUCUUCAAUACUUCUAACACUGUGUCAGAGGUAGCUGAAGCUGGCAAAAUGGUUCACAAGCUACUGAGGGGAAGAGGAAAUCAGACGCAGUCAACAUAGACUUUAUUUCCAUAGGAGGCCACCUGAAAUCAACUCUAUCUUCAAUCCCAGAUGAAGAGUGGUGAUGGCUCCUAAGGCUGAAUAUGAGCUCCUUGAAGAAAAAUGACACUUCCUCUUUCCAGACUAAACACUGUGGUGGUGCUGUCUCUCAGCCAUUUCAAGCUGACUUGAAACCAUGCUGCUCUUGAGAGCCUUUUCUUCCCCCUACGUGCUUCAUCUACACUGGGUCUCUAAAUGUUUCUUUGGUGGGUGAUCUCACUGAGAACUGUACAUGCCAAUCAUCAAACUGUGGAAGUGAGAAUGAGCUGACAAUGGCAUCUUGCUUUGCAAAUUAUUUUGCUUUGUUUAAAAAACGUGUGGGUCAAAGUAUUAUUUUGAAGUUAGCGUCUUAUGGGACUGCUUUUUGCAACUUCGAAAAGAAUAAAGAUCUUCAGUUUGGCUCCAGGAAGAAAACAAUGAGUUGCCUUUUGUGUACUUUCAGAAAGGGGUACAGGCCUAAUUUAUCUUCCUUUGAACACAAUGGAAGAGCCUGUAGAAUUGCUGUACUGAAAGGACAUUGACUUCAGGGGAUGGUGGAUUGUGCCCGAAAUGCUCUGUUGCAUGGGUAUUAAUUUGAGAACAUCUCCACUUUUUCCAGUAACCAUUCUGGUGGUAAAAGUGAGACUGGUAAAGUUGAGUGAGUCUCUGGUAUUCUCAGUCUCACUGAAGAAACCACUGGCUGAUGGCACUGGUGGUGCUUCUGUUCAGGUCCUCACUCCUUUCCAGAGAAAGUAAGUGGCCUCAGAGUGAUUUUUGGUGAAAUGUAUCCAGAAUACAAUCUAAAUCUAGCCCUCUUUCAUUCCUUUAGUAUUGUAUUUUAUCCUCCUGAUAGGUAUUUAGCUUUUAAACAACGCUGUCUGAUGAAGAUCAAAGAAUCUGCUUAGUUUUACUGUGUGUAUGUGUGAUUUGGCUACAUCUCAUUUUUAAAACUCCUCUACUGUACCAUCAUAAUGGUUUUAGCUCAGGACAACCACUGUGCAUUUAUUAAAUGAGAUGAAACCAAUGCUGAAGACAGUACAGAGUUGUGUGACCUUUCAGAUAUUGUUUGUCCAGACAGUUCGUGUCAUCCCGUGACAUCUUCCACCUGAUUUUCUGUCUGUAUGUCAUGCAUCGUCUGGGAUAGAGUUAAUUGUCAUUGUAGAGGCUUGUAUGGGACGCUAUCAUGCUGCCCUGUCAGUGAAGAGCUAGGGGUGCGUAAGAAGUUGGGAGGGCACAGGACCAGGACAGCUGACCUAAACUGGAUAAAGUGCAUUAAUGGAAGUGGCAGAAUGUCUGCCUGCUGAUGUGAAGUAGUGAAUGAAAUCCUCGUUUUACUUUGCUUUUGUAUGCAACUUCUGUUUUCCCUGGGAAAUUUUCUUUAUAUCAGCCCACAAGAUAUAGUCAUCAUAGAUUCAUAGUCAUUCUUGAGUCAUUAUAGAGAUAUAAGAGUCAAGAAGUCAUCAUAGAGUAAUCAGUGAGAUGUAAUGUAGUUAAAGAUUAAUGAUGAGUCAUAAUAGAAUCACAGAGUCAUUGCUGAGUUGUCAUAGAUUCCUCGUAAUGUCAUAGUGUCAUCAUAGUGUCAUUGAUUCAUCAUAGAAUCAUAGAGUGGUCAUGGACCAUGGUCUUUUACCUUCCCCAUUCUCUCCACAUCCCAUCUGCAGAGAGCAACUUUCUUUACAAAAUGAUAAGUAAUAGGAUAGCAGAGAGAAACAGCUUUGCAGUUUGGUGGAACUUCAAACUUAUCCCACAAGAUCAUCAUUAAGAGGAAUGAGGAUUAUUGUGAAGAGUGUUAAAGUGAGCGUUCUUGGAUCCUAGAAGUCCUUCCUAGUGCAGUGACUUUUGUCUAAUAAUUUUAUAUUUGGACAGUUUGUUGGAUAGUUUGGUAAUAAACAGAUCCAUAUGCUGCAGCCACUAGCACAGUAAGUAUCAAGAGCAAAAACACAUUUUCACAUAUUUUCCUGAAGUCCCAUUCACCUUUAUACCUAAGACCAAAAAAGCAGCCACCCAGCUCUACUAAUUCCCUCAAACACAGAAGCUCUCAAAUUAGAGCCCUGGGCGCCAACUUUGCUAAAAGUUUCCUGGUGCCCCAGUUGCAAUCGGUGAUAGGCCUCCACAGGCUUCCAAGUAAAAUGUGAUCAUUUCUUGCCGAUCCUUGUGUUCUCAGCACUAUCCAAUUAACAGUGGACCCCGACUAGCUAGGAUCUCCAACAGUGAGUAUUAUUGCUAACCCAACUGGCCACCUGCUGGUAAGGUCUCCCUGUUUCCCUCUACGCUCUAACUGCUCUCAUUGUUUAUUCAUAGAGCCAAAGAUUAAAGCCAGAAAGGACCACUGUGAUCAUCUUACCUCUAAUCAGAAACCUUUCCAAUUUUUCAACUUUCUCAUUCACUUGCUGACAUUACAUGUAGAUGCAGAAUGCAGUUUACAGAGAACUUUAUUUUCCAACACACUUCAGUCUGAUUCAGGUAACCAGAUUACAUGCUCAUCUACCUUUGUAACAUUUUACAGGAUUGGUCUCUACUCUCCAGCUCAAUUUCGAGCUCUACCUCAGAUCCCAGUGGUCUAAUUUUGAAAACUCAGUUAAGAAGCAUAGAGAUCCUGGUACUAGAAUUCAGAAUAAACCUGUUCAUAAAUUGUUUGGUCUUACAUCUGCAAACUAAGAAAAACUGUCACCUUGACAUUUUCAGGCAGCUUUUGUCCUCUCUCCCCUCCUUACUGUUUUGAUUGUUUGUGUUUUUUUUUUUUCCAAUAGAACAAUGUCAUUGUUAGUGUCAAAAAUGAAAUGUAUUUCAGUGAUGUCUGGGUUUCCUAGUGAUGGGUAUCCAGACUGAGGCAAGACAUGAAGCUGAUCAGAAGCCUAAGUGCCUGCAGAACAAAAUGACAGUCCUUGAUCUUUCCCUACUGACCUAAUGGAGACAUACAUAUAACUCCAGAGGAGACUGGUGAAGAACAGUUCCAAAUGUUUCUAGAACCGUAAAACACAUGCCUAAUUUUGUUUUGUUAAACCUACCUUGAAUAACAUUCACUAUGUAGAUAGCCAGGCAUUACUGAUCUCAUUAUCACAUAUUAAAGACAUAAUUUGUUCAGAUCUGAUUUUUGUGGUCAAAGUAACUGAAUGUUAGGUAAAUCAUAGCAGUUGUUAAUGUACUAGUAUGUUUUACUGUCUGUGACAAUCUCAGGCAAAUUGAGAGUUGAGCUGAAACAAACUCAGGAGUUUUUCAAGAAAAAUUGAUCUUUACAGACUGAGUAGAAACUCAGACUGAGAUAUUUGCUGUCACAAAAAGAAAGAGAAUCACAUGUAAAAUGAAAACCAAUUAUUCAGCUGAAUUUUUUUUUUUCCCAGAGUGAUGGAACAUGAAUCCACAAAAAAUUCCUGCUACCAUUAGGAUUAAUAAUAAUAAUAAUAAUAAUAAUAAUAAUCACACAGAAUAACAGGAAAACACUUUCUAGUUCAGUAAGUGGGCAGAAGAAAUGACAGAGAUGUUUUACAAACUACAGGGAUUGGGAAGUCGUGUCUGGUAUUUUAACUCAUAGUAUAUUGGGAACACAUUUCAUCUGUAUGUUCAAGUAUGGGUCCUUUUUUGGGGGGGGAGUAGAGGCAUAAGAGUUUCCUCCUUCUUAAUCUGUGUUGUUCUCAACAAAGAGGACCCUGAAUCACAGGCAGACACACAUCAGCUAGAAUGAUGAGUCAAAUUAAGCUCUGAAAGACAAGAGAUCAGUUAAACUUGUGGCCAAACUUUCCUUCUGGAUACCUACAGGUAGGCACUUCCCCAUCUGUGUGUGUGUUCUUCUACUUGAUCUUUUUGAGCUGAAUAAACAUGGAAAACAACUGUGUAAUUCCAUUUAUCUCUAUAAUUUUUCUGGGACUGGAUGAUCAAAGUGUCUUUUGACCUGGAAUUGUUUAAUGUGGAUUUUAACUCUAGCCUUUGUCUCUGUGUGUAAUUUUCAAUUACUUGAAUUUCUCGUAUUGUCUUAUGCUUUUACAUCCAUUCCAGAUGUUCCUCAAACUUUCUUUUUUGUCCUCUUCUCAAAUGAGAGAUAAUAAUCUCUCCAUUACUACGAUAAGACUAUAAGGUUCCUAAUUCUUCCUUCAAUUUAGCAAAAUUCUGCCUCUACU